Molecule: ribosomal RNA, 468 nt
Filed under: uncultured bacterium
Lineage: Bacteria
Description: partial 16S ribosomal RNA
Rfam family: Bacterial small subunit ribosomal RNA
Source: RNAcentral
GACGAACGCUGGCGGCGUGCUUAACACAUGCAAGUCGAACGGAAAGGCCCUGCUUUUGUGGGAUGCUCGAGUGGCGAAAGGGUGAGUAACACGUGAGUAACCUGCCCUUUACUUUGGGAUAACUUCAGGAAACUGGGGCUCAUACCGGAUAUGAGCUCCUGCUGCAUGGUGGGGGUUGGAAAGUUUCGGCGGUUGGGGAUGGACUCGCGGCUUAUCAGCUUGUUGGUGGGGUAGUGGCUUACCAAGGCUUUGACGGGUAGCCGGCCUGAGAGGGUGACCGGCCACAUUGGGACUGAGAUACGGCCCAGACUCCUACGGGAGGCAGCAGUGGAGAAUAUUGCACGAUGGGCGGAAGCCUGAUGCAGCAAUGCCGCGUGCGGGAUGACGGCCUUCGGGUUGUAAACCGCUUUCGCCUGUGACGAAGCGUGAGUGACGGUAAUGGGUAAAGAAGCACCGGCUAACUACGUG